Molecule: ribosomal RNA, 594 nt
Filed under: Saccharomyces cerevisiae (brewer's yeast)
Lineage: Eukaryota; Fungi; Ascomycota; Saccharomycetes; Saccharomycetales; Saccharomycetaceae
Description: eukaryotic LSU rRNA
Rfam family: Eukaryotic large subunit ribosomal RNA
Source: RNAcentral
GGAUUGCCUUAGUAACGGCGAGUGAAGCGGCAAAAGCUCAAAUUUGAAAUCUGGUACCUUCGGUGCCCGAGUUGUAAUUUGGAGAGGGCAACUUUGGGGCCGUUCCUUGUCUAUGUUCCUUGGAACAGGACGUCAUAGAGGGUGAGAAUCCCGUGUGGCGAGGAGUGCGGUUCUUUGUAAAGUGCCUUCGAAGAGUCGAGUUGUUUGGGAAUGCAGCUCUAAGUGGGUGGUAAAUUCCAUCUAAAGCUAAAUAUUGGCGAGAGACCGAUAGCGAACAAGUACAGUGAUGGAAAGAUGAAAAGAACUUUGAAAAGAGAGUGAAAAAGUACGUGAAAUUGUUGAAAGGGAAGGGCAUUUGAUCAGACAUGGUGUUUUGUGCCCUCUGCUCCUUGUGGGUAGGGGAAUCUCGCAUUUCACUGGGCCAGCAUCAGUUUUGGUGGCAGGAUAAAUCCAUAGGAAUGUAGCUUGCCUCGGUAAGUAUUAUAGCCUGUGGGAAUACUGCCAGCUGGGACUGAGGACUGCGACGUAAGUCAAGGAUGCUGGCAUAAUGGUUAUAUGCCGCCCGUCUUGAAACACGGACCUCCUGUGUGAAGU